This 72-nucleotide transfer RNA is filed under the name Anaerolineae bacterium. RNAcentral's name for it is "tRNA-Met". It matches the Rfam family "tRNA". From Rfam's summary of the family: Transfer RNA (tRNA) molecules are approximately 80 nucleotides in length. Their secondary structure includes four short double-helical elements and three loops (D, anti-codon, and T loops). The record is from RNAcentral. Lineage: Bacteria; Bacillati; Chloroflexota; Anaerolineae.
GGUGGCGUAGCUCAGCGGUAGAGCAGAGGACUCAUAAGCCUUUGGUCACAGGUUCAAAUCCCGUCGCCACCA